Molecule: long non-coding RNA, 342 nt
Organism: Salvia splendens (bonfire salvia)
Lineage: Eukaryota; Viridiplantae; Streptophyta; Magnoliopsida; Lamiales; Lamiaceae
Exons: 3
Source: RefSeq, a predicted model, not a curated record
UCAACUUCUAUCCAAGUAACCAAAUUCUCCAGCUUCAAGAACCGUUCUUUUCAAAUCCUCGCCGUUCUUGAUUUCUCAUUCACAGAGGUUGAGCGGCGACGAGGAUGUGUUGGUGUUGAGCAAGUGAAUUAAAUAUGUUAGUGAUGUCUUUGAACCCUGAGUGUCGUUGUGUCUUCACACAUGACGUCACUCUUUCUCUUGGUCGUUUCCGCUGUGACGUGUCUUAAAUUAUGAUUUAUUUGGGCCGACAACUUUAAUUGUUGGGGUAAUGGAUAUUCUGAAUUCCUUGUUGGAUAAUAUUAAACUCUUGGUUAUUUAUUUGGAUAUUAAUUGUUGGUCCAA